This 600-nucleotide ribosomal RNA is filed under the name Bacillus subtilis. RNAcentral describes it as "bacterial SSU rRNA". It matches the Rfam family "Bacterial small subunit ribosomal RNA", at positions 43 to 612 of the family's 1533-position model. Lineage: Bacteria; Bacillati; Bacillota; Bacilli; Caryophanales; Bacillaceae. The record is from RNAcentral.
UAAGACUCGUACACUAUCCGUGUCGAUCGCCUUCUACAGGUAUCCGUAGUCUUACGUGCCAUGAUGUUAGCGGCGGACGGGUGAGUAACACGUGGGUAACCUGCCUGUAAGACUGGGAUAACUCCGGGAAACCGGGGCUAAUACCGGAUGGUUGUUUGAACCGCAUGGUUCAAACAUAAAAGGUGGCUUCGGCUACCACUUACAGAUGGACCCGCGGCGCAUUAGCUAGUUGGUGAGGUAACGGCUCACCAAGGCAACGAUGCGUAGCCGACCUGAGAGGGUGAUCGGCCACACUGGGACUGAGAAACGGCCCAUACUCCUACGGGAGGCAGCAGUAGGGAAUCUUCCGCAAUGGACAAAAGUCUGACGGAACAACGCCGCGUGAGUGAUGAAGGUUUUCGGAUCGUAAAUCUCUGUUGUUAGGGAAAAAAAAGUACCGUUCGAAUAGGGGGUACCUUGACGGUACCUAACCAGAAAGCCACGGCUAACUACGUGCCAGCAGCCGCGGUAAUACGUAGGUGGCAAGCGUUGUCCGGAAUUAUUGGGCGUAAAGGGCUCGCAGGCGGUUUCUUAAGUCUGAUGUGAAAGCCCCCGGCUCAA